AAGUGUUACAGCUCUUUUAGAAUUUGUCUAGCAGAUUUUCAGGGGGGGUUUCCCGGAAAACCUCC
This is a small nuclear RNA of Echinops telfairi (small Madagascar hedgehog), 65 nucleotides long. Its record names the gene U7. It matches the Rfam family "U7 small nuclear RNA". From Rfam's summary of the family: Animal histone pre-mRNAs are spliced by a different mechanism than nuclear pre-mRNAs and self-splicing introns. The record is from Ensembl. NCBI's taxonomy places the organism in Eukaryota, Metazoa, Chordata, Mammalia, Afrosoricida, Tenrecidae.